AGCGCGGAGGAACAUGGCGGCAGCAACAAGAGGCGGCCCAGCCCUCUCCUUGAAGCCUGCGGUGCCCUCCGCGCAGCCACAAGGAGAGUGGCACUGCGCAUGCGCCAGCACCGCCCGCCUGCGCGCGCCUGUCUGUUGCGGCCAUGGCUUGGCGGACCUCGGCUGUGGGAGCUCUUCCAACAAAAAGAUGACGGUAUGGGUUGUGAGAAGGUUUUACAUGGAGGUGACUCAGCAAAGCAUUUUUCUUUAGAGAAGCAGCUGGAAGGACAGAGAGUGGAAAGAAAAUGGGAAGUAUUGUGGAACAUGAGAAUAAAGGAACAACUCUGCAGCAAAUGCAAUGUCUUAACCACAGCACUGAACAACUGUUGAGAACCACACUGGAAGUGAGCACCAGAAAAUAAUGCUGUAGGAGGAGGCUGUGCAGAAUGGCAAUAACCCUCACUGUACCAUAAAAAACAACUGGAAGGUGUAGUGCAGGUUACAGCAUCUGAAAAGACACUUCUAGAGAAGGGGCACCACACUGCCUCAGAUAAGUGGCCAUAUCUGUGCUGGUGGAAAGUGAUACAGUUCCACUGGAGGGGAAGGGACCAAAGAGAUUUUCCUUAUCUGCGGACCUGCUCAUUGGUUUGUAAGAUAUGAGCUUUCAUGGCCCAUUGACAUGUUUCAGUUCUUUUGUUCAUGACCACUUUUCUUCCAUGGUUUGUGUGCUACAGAUGGUAACCUGAGUCUCUCUUUACGGCUCACACAGAGUAAAUGGUAUCAGUACCAGUGAACGAUGGAGAAAAAAAUGAUGAAAAUAAGGUCAAGAAGCACUGUGUACCUAAUGUGGGUAAAAUGCUUGCAUCCUUAAUACAAUACCCUCUGCACGAGCAAGAAGGAUUUGCACUAGCUGUGAGGCCAUGAACUCAGUGAAACACUGAUACGUGGUGCAGCCAGUUACUUCAUUUUACAUCAUAAAGUUUAAGAUAUAUUUAAAUGUAAUAGCAUCUGUGCUUGAAUUCAAAGUGGGCCUCCUUCAUAAUACAGUCAGGUGGCAUUUCAUGGGAUUAGCAACAGCAUGAAGUGUGUUUUAUUUCAUUUUAAGAUGUCCGUUUAAUGACACACUGCGCCAUAUACAAUGUGCCUGUGCAAUACUAAUGUUCCUACAUGUAGUUUUAGCAUUACUAAGGUCUCUUGGGCAAGCCCACGGUGUAAUUUGAAACACUCUUCAGCUGAUAGAUUAAGGGAUGAUGAAAGAUAACUUAAUGGUGUUAGUAUUUGCUCAAAGGCUUUGUGCAAUCGUUUACAUCCGUUGGUUACAUUCAUACUUUCUGCAGAUUGCAAGGGCAGUUGUUUCAAUAUGCUGUAGCUGUGCAAACUUUACCUUUCUGUGGAAGUAUAUUUUAGACUAUGUAUCAGAGUGGAAAUGUAGUUUAAGUUUUAACAGAAACCCUGAACUUUAUACCUUUAUUUCCACUACUCUCAUUGGUUACAUACAUGUAACAAUCACAUAGGUAUGCCCAAGCAGUUAUUUGUCCUGGGAAUGAAAUAAUCAUACUGGGUACAUAACUAAGACUUUGCUAUCCAAAGAUUAUGUUUUCAAACGUGAUUAUGAGUUAUUAUCUUUAUUUUAGAGACAGGAAAACGUGAGGUAAACAUGCACUGACCACUGGGCAGAAGAAAUCCGCUGUGAGCUGUGUCUGUGCACCAUGCUUUUGUUGUAGUCUGCUCCCAGUAGUAGUAAGCUCCAGGCUGCAGCAUGGAAAGGGCACUAGGAGCAAAUUAUUCCCAAUUAAAUGAUUAAUAGAAAGGGAUGAGAAGGUGAACAUGUUCACACACAGUAUUAGAUACUUAAACACCCAGGCUAGGAACAUGCUCUGCUGUAUUUGCCUGAGUGUCUCCUGACUAUGUGUAGAGCAUGCAAAAGCUAUAAGGAAUAACGACCUCCAAACAGUCUACGCAAUCCAAGUCUAUAUUUUCCAUUGCUUCUGUAUUCAGGUUAAUUUAAACUUAAGAAUGUUGUGAUGUGUGAAUAAGUAAACUGCUGUAAGAGACAGCGCUCUUCUCUUCAACUAUGAAAAACUGGUUUGACUUCCAUUGGCAUCUCCUGACUUUCUCAUGUUAAUCAUCUGUGAAGUGCAAACACCAGCCGGAAAAGGGAUCCGCAUCUUUCAGCAUCAGCUUUGAACUUUCUUUAUUCAAAAGGACAGCUAGAACUGUAAUUAGGUACAGCUAGUCUUCAUUAUUUAGCUCAUUUAUUAUUUAUUGAUGUCUUUUCCCACAGUGCCUGUGAAUCUCACAUCUCGUGCUGACAGAGACGGGAGUCGGAGUGCUCUGUUUGCUUCCACAUGCUCCAGAGAUCACGUAUGACCAAAAUGGUGACAGCUUCAGUAACAGGUUGCUUUGCCUUGCCGUGCUCUUCAAGAAAGAAAUCUAUUCUGCAAUAUACAACUUCCAUCUUUCUGAGAGGCUUUCCUCCUUGAAUCCUUAUCUGUGAAGGACUGGCAGAAGGAAAGGCAAGAACUUGAAAGCAGCCUGGUGGGUUUUGAGGGGGUGAGGUUAACUGUACUGAGGUACAGUAGAAUUGUUAAAGUAGAUUUUCAAUUUCA
Gallus gallus (chicken) is the source of this 2588-nucleotide long non-coding RNA. RefSeq lists it as uncharacterized. The record is from RefSeq and is a predicted model, not a curated record. The transcript is spliced from 3 exons. Lineage: Eukaryota; Metazoa; Chordata; Aves; Galliformes; Phasianidae.